RNAcentral lists this ribosomal RNA (114 nucleotides) under uncultured bacterium. Its description in RNAcentral is "partial 16S ribosomal RNA". It matches the Rfam family "Bacterial small subunit ribosomal RNA", at positions 395 to 524 of the family's 1533-position model. The record is from RNAcentral.
CGCCGCGUGAGGGAUGAAGGCCUCUGGGCUGUAAACCUCUUUUAUCAAGGAAGAAGAUCUGACGGUACUUGAUGAAUAAGCCACGGCUAAUUCCGUGCCAGCAGCCGCGGUAAU